GUGAAAUACCACUCUGGUCGUUUUGAGCGUCUAACCCGCACCCGUGUAUCCGGGUGGGGGACAGUGCCUGGUGGGUAGUUUAACUGGGGCGGUUGCCUCCUAAAGUGUAACGGAGGCGCCCAAAGGUUCCCUCAGCCUGGUUGGCAAUCAGGUGGCGAGUGCAAGGGCACAAGGGAGCUUGACUGUGAGACGGACGUGUCGAGCAGGUGCGAAAGCAGGGCCUAGUGAUCCGGCACCUACGUGUGGAAGUGGUGUCGCUCAACGGCUAAAAGGUACCCCGGGGAUAACAGGCUGAUCUUCCCCAAGAGUCCAUAUCGACGGGAUGGUUUGGCACCUCGAUGUCGGCUCGUCGCAUCCUGGGGCUGGAGUAGGUCCCAAGGGUUGGGCUGUUCGCCCAUUAAAGCGGCACGCGAGCUGGGUUUAGAACGUCGCGAGACAGUUCGGUCCCUAUCCGCUGCGCGCGUAGGAGAAUUGUGAGGGUCUGUCCCUAGUACGAGAGGACCGGGACGGACGGACCUCUGGUGUGCCAGUUGUCCCGCCAGGGGCACGGCUGGUUGGCUACGUUCGGUCGGGAUAACCGCUGAAAGCAUCUAAGCGGGAAGCCUUCCUCGAGAUGAGUUCUCCCACCCCUUUGUGGGUGUAAGGCCCCCGGUAGACGACCGGGUUGAUAGGCUGGAGAUGGAAGCGCGGUAACGUGUGGAGUCGACCGGUACUAAUAGGCCGAGUGGCUUGAACACAC
This 739-nucleotide ribosomal RNA is filed under the name Actinomadura bangladeshensis. RNAcentral describes it as "partial 23S ribosomal RNA". It matches the Rfam family "Bacterial large subunit ribosomal RNA", at positions 2192 to 2925 of the family's 2925-position model. The record is from RNAcentral. Lineage: Bacteria; Bacillati; Actinomycetota; Actinomycetes; Streptosporangiales; Thermomonosporaceae.